This 256-nucleotide ribosomal RNA is filed under the name uncultured Rhizophagus. Its description in RNAcentral is "partial large subunit ribosomal RNA". It matches the Rfam family "Eukaryotic large subunit ribosomal RNA", at positions 359 to 630 of the family's 3401-position model. The record is from RNAcentral. Lineage: Eukaryota; Fungi; Glomeromycota; Glomeromycetes; Glomerales; Glomeraceae.
GAAAGAUGAAAAGAACUUUGAAAAGAGAGUUAAACAGUACGUGAAAUUGUUGAAAGGGAAACGAUUGAAGCCAGUCGUACCUUCGGGUAAUCAGCCUUUCGGGUGCGAUUCUGUGGAGUGUGAGGAGCUUAACACCUUCAUGCUUUGCAUAUUUGUGCUCUUGGGUGUACUUGCUCGUGUGGUUGGUUAACAUCAAUUUUGAUUAUCAUAAAAUGAUUGGAGGAAUGUAGCUUCGAUCUCGUAUUGAAGUGUUAUA